This 465-nucleotide ribosomal RNA is filed under the name uncultured bacterium. RNAcentral's name for it is "partial 16S ribosomal RNA". It matches the Rfam family "Bacterial small subunit ribosomal RNA", at positions 32 to 507 of the family's 1533-position model. The record is from RNAcentral.
AAUCAACGCUGGCGGCGUGCCUCAUACAUGCAAGUCGAACGAUUAAACUUCCCUUCGGGGAAGAUAUAAAUUGGCGCACGGGUGAGUAACACGUAGGUAAUGUACCUUUGGGUGGGGAAUAACUUAGGGAAACUUAAGCUAAUACCGCAUAAUGCAUCUGCACCUUCGGGAGACAGUUGUUAAAGAUUUAUCGCCUAAGGAGCAUCCUGCGACAGAUUAGCUAGUUGGUAAGUUAACGGCUUACCAAGUCUACGAUCUGUAUCCGACCUGAGAGGGUGGUCGGACACACUGACACUGAACAGCGGGUCAGACUCCUACGGGAGGCAGCAGUCGGGAAUUGUGGGCAAUGGGCGAAAGCCUGAACCAGCAACGCCGCGUGAAGGAUGAAGUCUUUCGGGAUGUAAACUUCGUAAGAAUAGGAAGAAUAAAUGACGGUACUAUUUGUAAGGUCCGGCUAACUACGUG